RNAcentral lists this ribosomal RNA (505 nucleotides) under uncultured bacterium. Its description in RNAcentral is "partial 16S ribosomal RNA". It matches the Rfam family "Bacterial small subunit ribosomal RNA", at positions 28 to 507 of the family's 1533-position model. The record is from RNAcentral.
GACGAACGCUGGCGGCGUGCCUAAUACAUGCAAGUAGAACGCACAGUUUAUACCGUAGCUUGCUACACCAUAGACUGUGAGUUGCGAACGGGUGAGUAACGCGUAGGUAACCUGCCUGGUAGCGGGGGAUAACUAUUGGAAACGAUAGCUAGUACCGCAUAAUAUUAAUUAUUGCAUGAUAAUUAAUUGAAAGGUGCAAUUGCACCACUACCAGAUGGACCUGCGUUGUAUUAGCUAGUAGGCGAGGUAACGGCUCACCUAGGCGACGAUACAUAGCCGACCGGAGAGGGUGAUCGGCCACACUGGGACUGAGACACGGCCCAGACUCCUACGGGAGGCAGCAGUAGGGAAUCUUCGGCAAUGGACGAAAGUCUGACCGAGCAACGCCGCGUGAGUGAAGAAGGUUUUCGGAUCGUAAAGCUCUGUUGUAAGAGAAGAACGGGUGUGAGAGUGGAAAGUUCACACUGUGACGGUAUCUUACCAGAAAGGGACGGCUAACUACGUG